UACGUAGGUCCCGAGCGUUGUCCGGAUUUAUUGGGCGUAAAGCGAGCGCAGGUGGUUUAUUAAGUCUGGUGUAAAAGGCAGUGGCUCAACCAUUGUAUGCAUUGGAAACUGGUAGACUUGAGUGCAGGAGAGGAGAGUGGAAUUCCAUGUGUAGCGGUGAAAUGCGUAGAUAUAUGGAGGAACACCGGUGGCGUAAGCGGCUCUCUGGCCUGUAACUGACACUGAGGCUCGAAAGCGUGGGGAGCAAACAGG
This 252-nucleotide ribosomal RNA is filed under the name uncultured bacterium. RNAcentral describes it as "partial 16S ribosomal RNA". It matches the Rfam family "Bacterial small subunit ribosomal RNA", at positions 524 to 776 of the family's 1533-position model. The record is from RNAcentral.